GCCGAUGUGGUGAAAUGGCAGACACGCACGGCUUAGGACCGUGUGCCCGAGAGGGCGUGGGAGUUCGACUCUCCCCAUCGGCA
RNAcentral lists this transfer RNA (83 nucleotides) under Chloroflexota bacterium. RNAcentral's name for it is "tRNA-Leu". It matches the Rfam family "tRNA". Rfam says of the family: Transfer RNA (tRNA) molecules are approximately 80 nucleotides in length. Their secondary structure includes four short double-helical elements and three loops (D, anti-codon, and T loops). Lineage: Bacteria; Bacillati; Chloroflexota. The record is from RNAcentral.